This 473-nucleotide ribosomal RNA is filed under the name Shigella boydii. RNAcentral describes it as "bacterial SSU rRNA". It matches the Rfam family "Bacterial small subunit ribosomal RNA", at positions 1 to 470 of the family's 1533-position model. The record is from RNAcentral. Lineage: Bacteria; Pseudomonadati; Pseudomonadota; Gammaproteobacteria; Enterobacterales; Enterobacteriaceae.
AAAUUGAAGAGUUUGAUCAUGGCUCAGAUUGAACGCUGGCGGCAGGCCUAACACAUGCAAGUCGAACGGUAACAGAAAGCAGCUUGCUGCUUUGCUGACGAGUGGCGGACGGGUGAGUAAUGUCUGGGAAACUGCCUGAUGGAGGGGGAUAACUACUGGAAACGGUAGCUAAUACCGCAUAACGUCGCAAGACCAAAGAGGGGGACCUUCGGGCCUCUUGCCAUCGGAUGUGCCCAGAUGGGAUUAGCUAGUAGGUGGGGUAAUGGCUCACCUAGGCGACGAUCCCUAGCUGGUCUGAGAGGAUGACCAGCCACACUGGAACUGAGACACGGUCCAGACUCCUACGGGAGGCAGCAGUGGGGAAUAUUGCACAAUGGGCGCAAGCCUGAUGCAGCCAUGCCGCGUGUAUGAAGAAGGCCUUCGGGUUGUAAAGUACUUUCAACGGGGAGGAAGGGAGUAAAGUUAAUACCUUU